GACCUCUUGUAUUCCAAACCUCUCUGUGUAAUAACAUCUCCGUGGCUGUUGCGGUUGUUUAACUUUCAGCUUCAGUUAAUUUAUAUUCAUUCCACUAAAUAACCCAGUGUGCGGAAUUUAGACAUUGUUUACUCUAAAACUAUAUGUUUCAGCCGGUCUUUUUGUGAUGAACACCGUCUCCGGUGACCUCUGCUUGUGUAAACUCCGCUGCUUGUGUAACAUGAACGUUAGCUAGCAGCGUUAGCUAGCGUUAGCUGCACCACAGUCAGGUACCUGCAGCUGUUGUAGCUGUGUAAGCUAGUUAGCUGCCUGUUCAGAAAGCCAGCUUGUAGUAAGUUUUGAGAUGUUUGCCCAAGUGAGAACACGCCUGGGCUCGACUUUGGUCAAACUGCCCAGUUGUUUAGGUUCAAGGGCGACGAGAGGAAUAACACCUGUCUUCUGCAAACACCAGCACCGGAGUUUCAGCUCAGAGUCUGCUGGUGUCCGGGUUGCACCCACAAUCUUGACUUCAUCCCAACUCACCACAAGUAAUUGUUUUUGUAAGGUAUAUUACUGUGUUUUUAUCUU
This is a long non-coding RNA of Amphiprion ocellaris (clown anemonefish), 567 nucleotides long. NCBI's taxonomy places the organism in Eukaryota, Metazoa, Chordata, Actinopteri, Pomacentridae. The record is from Ensembl.